Molecule: transfer RNA, 72 nt
Filed under: Myotis lucifugus (little brown bat)
Lineage: Eukaryota; Metazoa; Chordata; Mammalia; Chiroptera; Vespertilionidae
Rfam family: tRNA
About the family: Transfer RNA (tRNA) molecules are approximately 80 nucleotides in length. Their secondary structure includes four short double-helical elements and three loops (D, anti-codon, and T loops). Further hydrogen bonds mediate the characteristic L-shaped molecular structure. tRNAs have two regions of fundamental functional importance: the anti-codon, which is responsible for specific mRNA codon recognition, and the 3' end, to which the tRNAs corresponding amino acid is attached (by aminoacyl-tRNA synthetases). tRNAs cope with the degeneracy of the genetic code in two manners: having more than one tRNA (with a specific anti-codon) for a particular amino acid; and 'wobble' base-pairing, i.e. permitting non-standard base-pairing at the 3rd anti-codon position.
Source: Rfam by way of RNAcentral
GCUGGUUUGGCUCAGUGGAUAGAGCAUCAGCCUGCGGACUGAAGGGUCCGGGUUCAAUUCCAGUAAAGGGCA